Molecule: ribosomal RNA, 415 nt
Filed under: uncultured prokaryote
Description: bacterial SSU rRNA
Rfam family: Bacterial small subunit ribosomal RNA
Source: RNAcentral
GUGUCAGCAGCCGCGGUAAUACGGAAGGCCCGAGCGUUAAUCGGAAUCACUGGGCUUAAAGCGUGCGCAGGCGGAGCGGCAGGCACCUCGUGAAAUCCCACGGCUCAACCGUGGAAUUGCCGGGUGAACCGCCGUUCUCGAGGCAGGUAGGGGUCAGCGGAACUAUGGGUGGAGCGGUGAAAUGCGUAGAUAUCCAUGGGAACGCCAAUGGCGAAGGCAGCUGACUGGGCCUGUCCUGACGCUCAGGCACGAAAGCGUGGGUAGCAAACGGGAUUAGAUACCCCGGUAGUCCACGCCGUAAACGAUGCACACUAGGUCGGGGGGGUUCUCAUGCCUUCCCGGCCGAAGGAAAACUGUUAAGUGUGCCGCCUGGGGAGUACGGUCGCAAGGCUAAAACUCAAAGGAAUUGACGGGG